RNAcentral lists this ribosomal RNA (253 nucleotides) under uncultured bacterium. RNAcentral describes it as "partial 16S ribosomal RNA". It matches the Rfam family "Bacterial small subunit ribosomal RNA", at positions 524 to 776 of the family's 1533-position model. The record is from RNAcentral.
UACGUAGGUGGCAAGCGUUGUUCGGAAUUAUUGGGCGUAAAGCGCGCGUAGGCGGUUACUUAUGUCGGAUGUGAAAGCCCUCGGCUUAACUGAGGAAGUGCAUUCGAAACUGGGUAGCUAGAGUACUAAAGAGGGUCGCGGAAUUCCCGGUGUAGAGGUGAAAUUCGUAGAUAUCGGGAGGAACACCGGUGGCGAAGGCGGCGACCUGGGUAGAUACUGACGCUGAGGCGCGAAAGCGUGGGGAGCAAACAGG